AGAGUUUGAUCCUGGCUCAGGAUGAACGCUAGCGACAGGCUUAACACAUGCAAGUCGAGGGGCAGCGGGGGCGUAGCAAUAUGCCUGCCGGCGACCGGCGCACGGGUGAGUAACACGUAUGUAACCUGCCCUAUGCAGGGGGAUAACCCGGAGAAAUCCGGCCUAAUACCGCGUAACACCUUAGGGGAGCAUUCUCUUGAGGUUAAAGGAGAGAUCCGGCAUAGGAUGGACAUGCGUCGCAUUAGGUAGACGGCGGGGUAACGGCCCACCGUGCCGACGAUGCGUAGGGGUUCUGAGAGGAAGGCCCCCCACACUGGUACUGAGACACGGACCAGACUCCUACGGGAGGCAGCAGUGAGGAAUAUUGGUCAAUGGCCGAGAGGCUGAACCAGCCAAGUCGCGUGAGGGAAGAAUGUCCUAAGGAUUGUAAACCUCUUUUGUCGGGGAGCAAAAAGGCUCUGCGGAGUCGUAUUGAGAGUACCCGAAGAAAAAGCAUCGGCCAACUCCGUGCCAGCAGCCGCGGUAAAACGGAGGAUGCGAGCGUUAUCCGGAUUUAUUGGGUUUAAAGGGUGCGCAGGCGGCGUGUCAAGCAAGCGGUAAAAUAGCGGGGCUCAACCCCGUCGAGCCGUUUGAACUGGCGCGCUUGAGUUCAGGCGAGGUAGGCGGAAUUCGUGGUGUAGCGGUGAAAUGCAUAGAUAUCACGAAGAACUCCGAUUGCGAAGGCAGCUUACCAGUCUGCGACUGACGCUCAGGCACGAAAGUGUGGGUAUCGAACAGGAUUAGAUACCCUGGUAGUCCACACAGUAAACGAUGAGCGCUAGGUGUCCGGGUCGCAUGAGACUUGGGUGCCCGAGCGAAAGCGUUAAGCGCUCCACCUGGGGAGUACGCCGGCAACGGUGAAACUCAAAGGAAUUGACGGGGGCCCGCACAAGCGGAGGAACAUGUGGUUUAAUUCGAUGAUACGCGAGGAACCUUACCCGGGCUCAAACGACUCAGGAAUAUAUUGGAAACGAUGUAGCCAGCAAUGGUCUGAGUCGAGGUGCUGCAUGGUUGUCGUCAGCUCGUGCCGUGAGGUGUCGGCUUAAGUGCCAUAACGAGCGCAACCCCUACCGCCAGUUGCCAACGGGUAAAGCCGGGAACUCUGGCGGGACUGCCGGCGCAAGCUGUGAGGAAGGCGGGGAUGACGUCAAAUCAGCACGGCCCUUACGUCCGGGGCGACACACGUGUUACAAUGGCAGGUACAGCGGGAAGCCACCUGGUGACAGGGAGCGGAACCCGAAAGCCUGUCUCAGUUCGGAUUGGAGUCUGCAACUCGACUCCAUGAAGCUGGAUUCGCUAGUAAUCGCGCAUCAGCCAUGGCGCGGUGAAUACGUUCCCGGGCCUUGCACACACCGCCCGUCAAG
This 1403-nucleotide ribosomal RNA is filed under the name uncultured bacterium. RNAcentral's name for it is "bacterial SSU rRNA". It matches the Rfam family "Bacterial small subunit ribosomal RNA". The record is from RNAcentral.